CAAGGAAUAGUUUAUUUAAAAUGUUAAUUUUGGGGAUUAAUGAUGGGAUUUUUUUCUUUUCUUUGA
RNAcentral lists this transfer RNA (66 nucleotides) under Cryptocercus kyebangensis. RNAcentral's name for it is "tRNA-Pro". The record is from RNAcentral. Lineage: Eukaryota; Metazoa; Arthropoda; Insecta; Blattodea; Cryptocercidae.